Molecule: ribosomal RNA, 435 nt
Filed under: uncultured bacterium
Lineage: Bacteria
Description: partial 16S ribosomal RNA
Rfam family: Bacterial small subunit ribosomal RNA
Source: RNAcentral
GAUGAACGCUGGCGGUAUGCUUAACACAUGCAAGUCGAACGGACUCUUCGGAGUUAGUGGCGGACGGGUGAGUAACGCGUGAGAAUCUGGCUUUGGGUUCGGGACAACCACUGGAAACGGUGGCUCAUACCGGAUGUGCCGAGAGUUAAAAGAGAAAUUGCCUGAAGAUGAGCUCGCGUCUGAUUAGCUAGUUGGUGAGGUAAAGGCUCACCAAGGCAGCGAUCAGUAGCUGGUCUGAGAGGAUGACCGGCCACACUGGGACUGAGACACGGCCCAGACUCCUACGGGAGGCAGCAGUGGGGAAUGAUCCGCAAAGGGCGAAAGCCUGACGGAGGAAUACCGCGUGAGGGAAGAAGGCACUUGGGUUGAAAACCUCUUUGCUUAGGGAAGAACAAAAUGACGGUACCUAAGGAAGAAGCAUCGGCUAACUCCGUG